CCUACGGGUGGCAGCAGUGGGGAAUAUUGGGCAAUGGGCGCAAGCCUGACCCAGCAACGCCGCGUGAAGGAAGAAGGCUUUCGGGUUGUAAACUUCUUUUGUCAGGGACGAAGCAAGUGACGGUAGCUUACUAAUAAGCCACGGCUAACUACGUGCCAGCAGCCGCGGUAAUACGUAGGUGGCAAGCGUUCUCCGGAUUUAUUGGGUGUAAAGGUCGUGUAGGCGGGAAUGCAAGUCAGAUGUGAAAACUAUGGGCUCAACCCAUAGCCUGCAUUUGAAACUGUAUUUCUUGAGUGCUGGAGAGGCGAUCGGAAUUCCGGGUGUAGCGGUGAAAUGCGUAGAUAUACGGAGGAACACCAGUGGCGAAGGCGGAUUGCUGGACAGUAACUGACGCUGAGGCGCGAAAGCGUGGGUAGCAAACAGGAUUAGAUACCCUUGUAGUC
Molecule: ribosomal RNA, 443 nt
Filed under: uncultured bacterium
Lineage: Bacteria
Description: partial 16S ribosomal RNA
Rfam family: Bacterial small subunit ribosomal RNA
Source: RNAcentral